This 72-nucleotide transfer RNA is filed under the name Pelobates cultripes (western spadefoot toad). RNAcentral's name for it is "tRNA.Asp". It matches the Rfam family "tRNA". Rfam says of the family: Transfer RNA (tRNA) molecules are approximately 80 nucleotides in length. Their secondary structure includes four short double-helical elements and three loops (D, anti-codon, and T loops). Further hydrogen bonds mediate the characteristic L-shaped molecular structure. tRNAs have two regions of fundamental functional importance: the anti-codon, which is responsible for specific mRNA codon recognition, and the 3' end, to which the tRNAs corresponding amino acid is attached (by aminoacyl-tRNA synthetases). tRNAs cope with the degeneracy of the genetic code in two manners: having more than one tRNA (with a specific anti-codon) for a particular amino acid; and 'wobble' base-pairing, i.e. permitting non-standard base-pairing at the 3rd anti-codon position. Lineage: Eukaryota; Metazoa; Chordata; Amphibia; Anura; Pelobatidae. The record is from RNAcentral.
UACUGGUUAGUAUAGUGGUGAGUAUCCCCGCCUGUCACGCGGGAGACCGGGGUUCGAUUCCCUGACGGGGAG